CUUUACUACUGUAAUCUGCUUCUCAGUGGUCUUACGUGCUCCCAACUUGCGCCGUUACAGUCCAUAAUGAAUGCUCAUUUUCCUGUCCGCCCAUACCUCCCAUGCCUCACCCUUCUGUCAGUCCGUACAUUGGCUUCCUAUAAAAUAUAGAGCUCAAUUAAAAAUUUUGGUUCUUGCUUUCAAAUCGCUACAUAAUGCUGCUCCCACCUAUCUAUCCUCCCUUAUACACAAGUAUGUCCCGUCUAGGCCCCUAUGAUCUGCU
Molecule: non-coding RNA, 262 nt
Organism: Pelobates cultripes (western spadefoot toad)
Lineage: Eukaryota; Metazoa; Chordata; Amphibia; Anura; Pelobatidae
Source: the annotation of a GenBank genome assembly